This 448-nucleotide ribosomal RNA is filed under the name uncultured bacterium. RNAcentral describes it as "SSU rRNA". It matches the Rfam family "Bacterial small subunit ribosomal RNA", at positions 26 to 518 of the family's 1533-position model. The record is from RNAcentral.
AGAGCGAACGCUGGCGGCAGGCUUAACACAUGCAAGUCGAGCGGGCGUAGCAAUACGUCAGCGGCAGACGGGUGAGUAACGCGUGGGAACAUACCUUUUGGUUCGGAACAACACAGGGAAACUUGUGCUAAUACCGGAUAAGCCCUUACGGGGAAAGAUUUAUCGCCGAAAGAUUGGCCCGCGUCUGAUUAGCUAGUUGGUGAGGUAAUGGCUCACCAAGGCGACGAUCAGUAGCUGGUCUGAGAGGAUGAUCAGCCACAUUGGGACUGAGACACGGUCCAAACUCCUACGGGAGGCAGCAGUGGGAAUAUUGGACAAUGGGCGCAAGCCUGAUCCAGCCAUGCCGCGUGAGUGAUGAAGGCCCUAGGGUUGUAAAGCUUCUUUUGUGCGGGAAGAUAAUGACGGUACCGCAAGAAUAACGCCCGGCUAACUUCGUGCCAGCAGCCGC